Molecule: transfer RNA, 73 nt
Filed under: Stegodyphus mimosarum
Lineage: Eukaryota; Metazoa; Arthropoda; Arachnida; Araneae; Eresidae
Rfam family: tRNA
About the family: Transfer RNA (tRNA) molecules are approximately 80 nucleotides in length. Their secondary structure includes four short double-helical elements and three loops (D, anti-codon, and T loops).
Source: Rfam by way of RNAcentral
GCCUUCGUGGUGUAAUGAUCAGCACACUGGACGCAUAUUCGAGAGGUCCGAGGUUCGAGUCCCGGCCAGGGCA